GGGCUCGUAGCUCAGCUGGUAUGAGCGCUGCCUUCGCAAGGCAGAGGCCGCGGGUUCAAAUCCCGCCGAGUCCA
Thermoplasmatales archaeon is the source of this 74-nucleotide non-coding RNA. Lineage: Archaea; Methanobacteriati; Thermoplasmatota; Thermoplasmata; Thermoplasmatales. The record is from Rfam.